This 465-nucleotide ribosomal RNA is filed under the name Vreelandella stevensii. Its description in RNAcentral is "partial 16S ribosomal RNA". It matches the Rfam family "Bacterial small subunit ribosomal RNA", at positions 338 to 795 of the family's 1533-position model. The record is from RNAcentral. Lineage: Bacteria; Pseudomonadati; Pseudomonadota; Gammaproteobacteria; Oceanospirillales; Halomonadaceae.
CCUACGGGUGGCUGCAGUGGGGAAUAUUGGACAAUGGGGGCAACCCUGAUCCAGCCAUGCCGCGUGUGUGAAGAAGGCCCUCGGGUUGUAAAGCACUUUCAGUGAGGAAGAACGCCUGGUGGUUAAUACCCAUCAGGAAAGACAUCACUCACAGAAGAAGCACCGGCUAACUCCGUGCCAGCAGCCGCGGUAAUACGGAGGGUGCGAGCGUUAAUCGGAAUUACUGGGCGUAAAGCGCGCGUAGGUGGCUUGAUAAGCCGGUUGUGAAAGCCCCGGGCUCAACCUGGGAACGGCAUCCGGAACUGUCAAGCUAGAGUGCAGGAGAGGAAGGUAGAAUUCCCGGUGUAGCGGUGAAAUGCGGAGAGAUCGGGAGGAAUGCCAGUGGCGAAGGCGGCCUUCUGGACUGACACUGACACUGAGGUGCGAACGCGUGGGUAGCAAACAGGAUUAGAUACCCUAGUAGUC